AGAGCGAACGCUGGCGGCAGGCCUAACACAUGCAAGUCGAGCGGGCGUAGCAAUACGUCAGCGGCAGACGGGUGAGUAACGCGUGGGAACGUACCUUUUGGUUCGGAACAACCCAGGGAAACUUGGGCUAAUACCGGAUAAGCCCUUACGGGGAAAGAUUUAUCGCCGAAAGAUCGGCCCGCGUCUGAUUAGCUAGUUGGUGGGGUAAUGGCCCACCAAGGCGACGAUCAGUAGCUGGUCUGAGAGGAUGAUCAGCCACAUUGGGACUGAGACACGGCCCAAACUCCUACGGGAGGCAGCAGUGGGGAAUAUUGGACAAUGGGCGCAAGCCUGAUCCAGCCAUGCCGCGUGAGUGAUGAAGGCCCUAGGGUUGUAAAGCUCUUUGUGCGGGAAGAUAAUGACGGUACCGCAAGAAUAAGCCCCGGCUAACUUCGCGCCAGCAGCCGC
Molecule: ribosomal RNA, 447 nt
Filed under: uncultured bacterium
Lineage: Bacteria
Description: SSU rRNA
Rfam family: Bacterial small subunit ribosomal RNA
Source: RNAcentral